ACUUUCAAAGGAUAGUAGUCUUCCACUAGUCUUAGGCGCUAAAAACUCUUGGUGCAACCCAAGUGAAAGUA
RNAcentral lists this transfer RNA (71 nucleotides) under Gekko swinhonis (Peking gecko). Its description in RNAcentral is "tRNA-Leu". Lineage: Eukaryota; Metazoa; Chordata; Lepidosauria; Squamata; Gekkonidae. The record is from RNAcentral.